CCUACGGGUGGCAGCAGUGGGGAAUAUUGGGCAAUGGGCGCAAGCCUGACCCAGCAACGCCGCGUGAAGGAAGAAGGCUUUCGGGUUGUAAACUUCUUUUGUCAGGGACGAAGCAAGUGACGGUACCUGACGAAUAAGCCACGGCUAACUACGUGCCAGCAGCCGCGGUAAUACGUAGGUGGCAAGCGUUAUCCGGAUUUACUGGGUGUAAAGGGCGUGUAGGCGGGACUGCAAGUCAGAUGUGAAAACCACGGGCUCAACCUGUGGCCUGCAUUUGAAACUGUAGUUCUUGAGUACUGGAGAGGCAGACGGAAUUCCUGGUGUAGGGGUAAAAUCCGUAGAGAUCAAGAGGAAUACUCAUUGCGAAGGCGACCUGCUAGAACAUAACUGACGCUGAUGCGCGAAAGCGUGGGGAGCAAACAGGAUUAGAUACCCGUGUAGGC
RNAcentral lists this ribosomal RNA (443 nucleotides) under uncultured bacterium. RNAcentral describes it as "partial 16S ribosomal RNA". It matches the Rfam family "Bacterial small subunit ribosomal RNA", at positions 338 to 795 of the family's 1533-position model. The record is from RNAcentral.